RNAcentral lists this long non-coding RNA (373 nucleotides) under Zea mays. Its description in RNAcentral is "long non-coding RNA (ZMAY_LNC001859)". Lineage: Eukaryota; Viridiplantae; Streptophyta; Magnoliopsida; Poales; Poaceae. The record is from RNAcentral.
AACAUGGGAGCCUCUAAAUCUCGGAGACACAAAAGAUGGUCACCACGACGGUGACACCAUAAGCCACCAAAGUUCAGUUGGCCCGCAACUGGUUCCAGUCCAGAGUAUUUUUCAUCCGUCACCCCAGAUAAGGUGAAAUAUGUUUCGGCUUGCUCCUGCAUUUACCAUCUCGUUCUUCUUCUUUAGCAUCUUCUCUUGUGCAGAGGUAUCGCCACCCUACAACAUUGCCAAUCUGGACAUGAGCUUAGAUGUCUCAAAAAAAAGUAUUUUGUAAGACACAGUACUGUAGCACUGCAACACAAAGGGCAUGGAAUUUGUUCCGAACAUGAGGAACUGUUGUGACCUGUAUAUUUAAACGGAAACAAAAAAAACU